Molecule: ribosomal RNA, 243 nt
Filed under: uncultured Actinomycetales bacterium
Lineage: Bacteria; Bacillati; Actinomycetota; Actinomycetes; Actinomycetales
Description: partial 16S ribosomal RNA
Rfam family: Bacterial small subunit ribosomal RNA
Source: RNAcentral
UACUCGAGUGGCGAACGGGUGAGUAACACGUGGGUGAUCUGCCCUGCACUUCGGGAUAAGCUUGGGAAACUGGGUCUAAUACCGGAUAGGAGCCAUCUUUAGUGUGGUGGUUGGAAAGUUUUUUCGGUGUAGGAUGAGCUCGCGGCCUAUCAGCUUGUUGGUGGGGUAAUGGCCUACCAAGGCGGCGACGGGUAGCCGGACUGAGAGGUUGGUCGGCCACAUUGGGACUGAGAUACGGCCCAG